Molecule: ribosomal RNA, 252 nt
Filed under: uncultured bacterium
Lineage: Bacteria
Description: partial 16S ribosomal RNA
Rfam family: Bacterial small subunit ribosomal RNA
Source: RNAcentral
UACGUAGGGCGCAAGCGUUAUCCGGAAUUAUUGGGCGUAAAGAGCUCGUAGGCGGUUUGUCGCGUCUGCCGUGAAAGUCCGGGGCUCAACUCCGGAUCUGCGGUGGGUACGGGCAGACUAGAGGUAUGCAGGGGAGAACGGAAUUCCUGGUGUAGCGGUGAAAUGCGCAGAUAUCAGGAGGAACACCGGUGGCGAAGGCGGUCUCUGGGCAUUACCUGACGCUGAGGUGCGAAAGCGUGGGGAGCAAACAGG